Molecule: ribosomal RNA, 507 nt
Filed under: uncultured bacterium
Lineage: Bacteria
Description: bacterial SSU rRNA
Rfam family: Bacterial small subunit ribosomal RNA
Source: RNAcentral
GAUGAACGCUAGCUACAGGCUUAACACAUGCAAGUCGAGGGGUAGCAGGGUAGCAAUACCGCUGACGACCGGCGCACGGGUGAGUAACACGUAUCCAACCUUCCCAUAACUCGGGGAUAGCCUUUCGAAAGAAAGAUUAAUACCCGAUAGUACUUAAGAAAGGCAUCUUUUUUUAAGUUAAAGAUUUAUUGGUUAUGGAUGGGGAUGCGUUCCAUUAGAUAGUUGGUGAGGUAACGGCUCACCAAGUCUUCGAUGGAUAGGGGUUCUGAGAGGAAGGUCCCCCACAUUGGUACUGAGACACGGACCAAACUCCUACGGGAGGCAGCAGUGAGGAAUAUUGGUCAAUGGGCAGAGCCUGAACCAGCCAAGUAGCGUGAAGGAUGAAGGUCCUAUGGAUUGUAAACUUCUUUUAUAGUAGAAUAAAGUGAUCCACGUGUGGAUUUUUGUAUGUAUACUAUGAAUAAGGAUCGGCUAACUCGUGCCAGCAGCCGCGGUAAUCUGUCUCUA